GAUGAACGCUGGCGGCGUGCCUAAUACAUGCAAGUCGAGCGAACAGAUGAGGAGCUUGCUCCUUUGCCGUUAGCGGGGGACGGGCGAGUAACACGUGGAUAACCUACCUAUAAGACUGGGAUAACAUCGGGAAACAGGAGCUAAUACUGGCUAAUAUAUUGAACGGCAUGGAUCAAUAGUGAAUGACGGUUUUGCUGUCUCUAAUAGAUGGAUCCGCGCCGGCUUGGCUGUUUGGUAAGGUAACGGCUAACCAAGGCAACGAUGCGUACCCGACCGGAGGGGUGAAUCGGCCACCCUGAACCGGGGCCAGGUUCCGACCUCCUACGGGGGGCAGCGGUGGGGAAUCUGGCGCAAUGGGCGAAACCCGGUCGGAGCAACGCCGCGUGGGGAAGGAGGGUCUCCGGUUCGUAAACCUCUUUUAUGAGGAAAAAACAAAGGUGUAUGUAACUAUGCUCGUCUUGACGUUACCAAAGCAGAAGGCCCCGGCUACCUCGUU
This 496-nucleotide ribosomal RNA is filed under the name uncultured bacterium. RNAcentral describes it as "partial 16S ribosomal RNA". It matches the Rfam family "Bacterial small subunit ribosomal RNA", at positions 28 to 506 of the family's 1533-position model. The record is from RNAcentral.